AUCAAAUAAGAGAACCUUCUUUACUUCUCCAAACUUUUCACAUUCUGUCCGUAGGUCUUCCCUAAUCUCAUUCAGUACUAAAGGAUCUUCCUCAAAAUCCUUUGGGUGGAACAUGUUCCUGAUGAUAACAACACGCUCAUGUCGCUUUCGAACUGUUGCAUCUUUCUUCUCAGGCCUCCAAUCCAACUGUCUAAUGAAAUGAAGCAAUAGUGAGACAUGGUUGCACCUUUC
Long non-coding RNA from Trachemys scripta elegans, 231 nucleotides. RefSeq lists it as uncharacterized. Lineage: Eukaryota; Metazoa; Chordata; Testudines; Emydidae. The record is from RefSeq and is a predicted model, not a curated record. The transcript is spliced from 3 exons.